AUUUUGACUGCAAAGCUUCGUGUGUUUCUUUAUUACCAAACCACUUCACCGUGAGAUAAAAGUAGAUUAAAAUACCACCACAAACAUUAUUCAAAAAUCACAUUUUUUAUUUUCUUACAAGAAUUCAGUUAAUAAAACAUCUAAUCCCAAAGUGAUUGGAAAGCAACACUUCACAAAACAAGACCAAAGUACACACCUUACAAAUUAUCUAAGCAAUACCAGUAAUAAACAAGGUUAUCAUUUUGUGCAAAAUUAUAUUAAAUUUGGCUCCAUGCUCCCGAGUGGUGUGACGUGGUUUAAAGUGACUGCGCUGCAUGCCAAUAAGAAGUCAGUAGUGGUUUCUAAGAUAGCUGCGCCGCCUUGUGGUACAUCGUGGUAUUACAUGAAUGCUGCGCCACCCUGUGGUACAUCGUAGUAUUACAUCUAACCUACCAGUGGGCAUUUCUCCAUUCCACUCAGUCAGUCAGUAAUCUCACAUUCCUUCUGUAUAAGUGGAUACUCACACAGUACACAAUACAAAUCGACGUAUGAAAAUAGUGUGCGACCAGUGUCAUCUACCUAUGAAAACAAUCCUACCAUUUAAAAAGAAGUGUGUUAUAUCAAAAACAUAGGAUACCAUAGUGCAUCAGAUUGUACAAGAUUUGCAUCCAUCAUUGUGUUCGUCCAGAACUCUCUGCCAGAAGCAAAGGAAUUACCCCACAGUAUACAGCACAGUGAAAAACACAUGUUUAAAGUCAGUCAGACAUUUAGAUUGGAGUUGGUGAUUAGAAACAAGCAGUCCACAGACGUCAUCAUAUGGCUAUAGAUGGUUAAACAUGCAGAAGAGAAAGGCAAGUCUUAUUGUACCUAACACACUGUGCAGUUGUUCCUCUUUAAAAGGUCUCAGUCAGUUGUUCCUCUUUAAAAGGUCUCAGUCAGUUGUUCCUCUUUAAAAGGUCUCAGUCAGUUGUUCCUCUUUAAAAGGUCUCAGUCAGUUGCUCCUCUUUAAAAGGUCUCAGUCAGUUGUUCCUCUUUAAAAGGUCUCAGUCAGUUGUUCCUCUUUAAAAGGUCUCAGUCAGUUGCUCCUCUUUAAAAGGUCUCAGUCAGUUGUUCCUCUUUAAAAGGUCUCAGUCAGUUGCUCCUCUUUAAAAGGUCUCAGUCAGUUGUUCCUCUUUAAAAGGUCUCAGUCAGUUGUUCCUCUUUAAAAGGUCUCAGUCAGUUGUUCCUCUUUAAAAGGUCUCAGUCAGUUGUUCCUCUUUAAAAGGUCUCAGUCAGUUGUUCCUCUUUAAAGAUCUCGGUCAGUUGCUCCUCUUUAAAAGGUCUCAGUCAGUUGCUCCUCUUUAAAAGGUCUCAGUCAGCUGUUCCUCUUUAAAAGGUCUCAGUCAGUUGUUCCUCUUUAAAAGGUCUCAGUCAGUUGUUCCUCUUUAAAAGGUCUCAGUCAGUUGUUCCUCUUUAAAAGGUCUCAGUCAGUUGUUCCUCUUUAAAAGGUCUCAGUCAGUUGUUCCUCUUUAAAAGGUCUCAGUCAGUUGCUCCUCUUUAAAAGGUCUCAGUCAGUUGUUCCUCUUUAAAAGGUCUCAGUCAGUUGCUCCUCUUUAAAAGGUCUCAGUCAGUUGUUCCUCUUUAAAAGGUCUCAGUCAGUUGCUCCUCUUUAAAGAUCUCGGUCAGUUGCUCCUCUUUAAAGGUCUCAGUCAGUUGCUCCUCUUUAAAAGGUCUCAGUCAGUUGUUCCUCUUUAAAAGGUCUCAGUCAGUUGCUCCUCUUUAAAAGGUCUCAGUCAGUACACUUAUCAGUGGUGGCUGGUGCCACCUUGAAUCUGAGGAGGGACUCAUAGUAAUGGCUGGAAUGAAUAGACAGGCAUCAAACACAUCUAGACUUGGUUUCUUCCCAGUGUUUGACUCCGUUCCAUCUAUUCCAUUCCAGCCAUUAUUAUGAGCCGUCCUCCCUUGACCAGCCUCCAAUGACUCUCUUGUACAUAGGGAGGCUAUCACUUUGUGUUUGCUGUUUGCUUAAAGGGAUAGUUCAUCCAAAUUACACUAUAACCUUUAAAUUCAGAGGGUUCCUGAGUUGUUGGAAUAGAGAUAUUGCUGCUUAAGGUUCUUUAUUCCUUAGCCCUCUGAUAUCUCUCUACUGUUCUAGAGCCCUCUGAUAGCUCUCUACUGUUCUAGAGCCCUCUGAUAUCCCGCUACUGUUCUAGAGUCCUCUGAUAUCUCGCUACAGUUCUAGAGCCCUCUGAUAUCUCGCUACUGUUCUAGAGCCCUCUGAUAUCUCGCUACUGUUCUAGAGCCCUCUGAUAUCUCGCUGCUGUUCUAGAGCCCUCUGAUAUCUCUCUACUGUUCUAGAGCCCUCUACUGUUCUAGAGCCCUCUGAUAUCUCACUACUGUUCUAGAGCCCUCUGAUAUCCCUCUACUGUUCUAGAGCCCUCUGAUAUCUCGCUACUGUUCUAGAGCCCUCUGAUAUCCCUCUACUGUUCUAGAGCCCUCUGAUAUCUCGCUACUGUUCUAGAGCCCUCUGAUAUCCCUCUACUGUUCUAGAGCCCUCUGAUAUCUCUCUACUGUUCUAGAGCCCUCUGAUAUCCCUCUACUGUUCUAGAGCCCUCUGAUAUCCCUCUACUGUUCUAGAGCCCUCUGAUAUCUCUCUACUGUUGUAGAGCCCUCUGAUAUCUCUCUACUGUUCUAGAGCCUUCUGAUAUCUUGCUACUGUUGUAGAGCCCUCUGAUAUCUCUCUACUGUUCUAGAGCCCUCUGAUAUCUCUCUACUGUUCUAGAGCCUUCUGAUAUCUCGCUACUGUUCUAGAGCCCCCUGAUGUCUCUCUACUGUUCUAGAGCCCUCUGAUAUCUCUCUACUGUUCUAGUGCCCUCUGAUGUCUCUCUACUGUUCUAGAGCCCUCUGAUAUCUCUCUACUGUUCUAGAGCCCUCUGAUAUCCUCUCUACUGUUCUAGAGCCCUCUGAUAUCCCUCUACUGUUCUAGAGCCCUCUGAUAUCUCUCUACUGUUGUAGAGCCCUCUGAUAUCUCUCUACUGUUCUAGAGCCUUCUGAUAUCUUGCUACUGUUGUAGAGCCCUCUGAUAUCCCUCUACUGUUCUAGAGCCCUCUGAUAUCUCUCUACUGUUGUAGAGCCCUCUGAUAUCGCUCUACUGUUCUAGAGCCUUCUGAUAUCUCGCUACUGUUCUAGAGCCCUCUGAUGUCUCUCUACUGUUCUAGUGCCCUCUGAUGUCUCUCUACUGUUCUAGAGCCCUCUGAUAUCUCUCUACUGUUCUAGAGCCCUCUGAUAUCUAUACUGUUCUAGAGCCAUCUGAUGUCCCUCUACUGUUAUAGAGCCCUCUGAUAUCUCUCUACUGUUGUAGAGCCCUCUGAUAUCUCUCUACUGUUGUAGAGCCCUCUGAUAUCUCUCUACUGUUCUAGAGCCCUCUGAUAUCUCUCUACUGUUCUAGAGCCUUCUGAUAUCUCUCUACUGUUCUAGAGCCCUCUGAUAUCUCUCUACUGUUCUAGAGCCCUCUGAUAUCUAUACUGUUCUAGAGCCAUCUGAUGUCCCUCUACUGUUCUAGAGCCCUCUGAUAUCUCUCUACUGUUGUAGAGCCCUCUGAUAUCUCUCUACUGUUCUAGAGCCCUCUGAUAUCCCUCUACUGUUCUAGAGCCAUCUGAUGUCUCUCUACUGUUCUAGAGCCCUCUGAUAUCUCUCUACUGUUCUAGAGCCCUCUGAUAUCCCUCUACUGUUCUAGAGCCAUCUGAUGUCCCUCUACUGUUCUAGAGCCCUCUGAUAUCUCUCUACUGUUCUAGAGCCCUCUGAUAUCUAUACUGUUCUAGAGCCAUCUGAUGUCCCUCUACUGUUCUAGAGCCCUCUGAUAUCUCUCUACUGUUCUAGAGCCCUCUGAUAUCUCUCUACUGUUCUAGAGCCCUCUGAUAUCUCUCUACUG
This is a long non-coding RNA of Oncorhynchus tshawytscha (Chinook salmon), 3889 nucleotides long. The record is from Ensembl. Lineage: Eukaryota; Metazoa; Chordata; Actinopteri; Salmoniformes; Salmonidae.